Molecule: ribosomal RNA, 433 nt
Filed under: uncultured bacterium
Lineage: Bacteria
Description: partial 16S ribosomal RNA
Rfam family: Bacterial small subunit ribosomal RNA
Source: RNAcentral
AACGAACGCUGGCGGCAUGCCUAACACAUGCAAGUCGAACGAGACCUUCGGGUCUAGUGGCGCACGGGUGCGUACCGCGUGGGAACCUGCCCUUAGGUUCGGAAUAACUCCCCGAAAGGGGUGCUAAUACCGGAUAAUGUCUUCGGACCAAAGAUUUAUCGCUUUGGGAUGGGCCCGCGUUGGAUUAGCUAGUUGGUAGGGUAAAAGCCUACCAAGGCGACGAUCCAUAGCUGGUCUGAGAGGAUGAUCAGCCACACUGGGACUGAGACACGGCCCAGACUCCGACGGGAGGCAGCAGUGGGGAAUAUUGUACAAGGGGCGAAAGCCUGAUCCAGCAAUGCCGCGGGAGUGAUGAAGGCCUUAGGGUUGUAAAGCUCUUUUACCCGGGAUGAUAAUGACAGUACCGGGAGAAUAAGCUCCGGCUAACUCCGUG